UGGGGAAUUUUGGACAAUGGGGGCAACCCUGAUCCAGCCAUGCCGCGUGCGGGAAGAAGGCCUUCGGGUUGUAAACCGCUUUUGUUCGGGAAGAAAUCCUCUGGGCUAAUACCCUGGGGGGAUGACGGUACCGGAAGAAUAAGCACCGGCUAACUACGUGCCAGCAGCCGCGGUAAUACGUAGGGUGCGAGCGUUAAUCGGAAUUACUGGGCGUAAAGCGUGCGCAGGCGGUUGUGCAAGACAGAUGUGAAAUCCCCGGGCUUAACCUGGGAACUGCAUUUGUGACUGCACGGCUAGAGUGCGGCAGAGGGGAGUGGAAUUCCGCGUGUAGCAGUGAAAUGCGUAGAUAUGCGGAGGAACACCGAUGGCGAAGGCAGCUCCCUGGGCCUGCACUGACGCUCAUGCACGAAAGCGUGGGGAGCAAACAGGAUUAGAUACCCUGGUAGUCCACGCCCUAAACGAUGUCAACUGGUUGUUGGUCCUUCACUGGAUCAGUAACGUAGCUAACGCGUGAAGUUGACCGCCUGGGGAGUACGGCCGCAAGGUUGA
Molecule: ribosomal RNA, 549 nt
Filed under: Acidovorax sp. enrichment culture clone 15-1
Lineage: Bacteria; Pseudomonadati; Pseudomonadota; Betaproteobacteria; Burkholderiales; Comamonadaceae
Description: bacterial SSU rRNA
Rfam family: Bacterial small subunit ribosomal RNA
Source: RNAcentral